UGAAUAAUUGAUGGAGACAAAUCUAAAACUUACCAACGAGAAUGAAUGUGAGAUUUGGUAACUACAACAAAUAUAAAACUCAAAUGUGAAAAUAAAAAUGUUACAACAGAAACAUAUUAGAAAACAUUGUGGGUAAAUUGGAUGAAAGCAGCGAACCCUUCUCAAGAAAAAACAAGUGCAGUGGUCGACCAAGAAAACAUAGAUCUGGAACAGUUUUGAUUGAGAUGGUGA
This 231-nucleotide long non-coding RNA is filed under the name Trifolium pratense (red clover). RNAcentral's name for it is "long non-coding RNA (TPRA_LNC014096)". Lineage: Eukaryota; Viridiplantae; Streptophyta; Magnoliopsida; Fabales; Fabaceae. The record is from RNAcentral.